UGGUGUGUGUUGAGGUGAUUGUGUUAAUGAUUGUUAGGAUGGGGAUUUUGAAAGUUGUGUUAGUGGUGGCUGCUAUGGUUGCAUUUGAUCUGCCUGAUGUCUUGGGAAGUUUGAGGAACAGUCAUAGUCCGAGAAGCAUGGGGCCAAAAUCAGAUCCAGCUUCCAGAAGUCCUGCCCUUUCUCCUCUAGGGCUCUGGAACCCUUUGCAAGUGGCUUCUCAGUUUCAGAGUCCUCUGGGUCCUGACUCCAAAAGCCUUGCACAGGAUCCUUUUGGCCUUCAGGAGAAGCUGCUGUUGCAGGGUCCAGUGAAGCCUUUGGAUUGGAGGUAUCCCAUCGUUCCAGAGGUGCAGAGCGAGGUGGCGGUGGACUUCCAGUUGAGGCAACCCGUGACUCCCAACAGCGUAGCGGUUCAAUGUGGAGAGAACCGGGUUCUCGUAGAGGUCCAGCAGGACUUCUUCAGCAAUGGUCAGUUGAUCCAGCCAACUGGUCUGUCUUUAGGUGGAUGUCCUGUUGUUGGUCAGGAUCCUGGGGCAAGAGUGCUCAUCUUUGAGUAUGAAUUACAGGACUGCAACAGUGUGCUGAUGAUGAAUGAGGAUGAGCUUGUCUACACCUUCUCUCUUACCUACACCCCUGAGGCGCUUGCAGGUACUCCGAUUACCCGGACCAAUGGUGCAACUGUUGGUGUUCAAUGCCAUUAUCAAAGGCUCCAAAAUGUAAGCAGUGAUGCCUUGAGGCCAACAUGGGUCCCUUAUGCCUCAACAGAGGCUGGUGAAGAAGUCUUGGUGUUCUCCCUGAAGAUCAUGAUGGAUGAUUGGAUAUAUGAGAGGCCUUCAUACUCCUAUUUCCUGGGUGGUGUUAUUAACAUUGAGGCAUCUGUGAAGCAGUACAGUCAUGUGCCUCUGCGUGUGUUUGUGGACCGCUGUGUGGCCACUCAAGUACCUGAUGUGAACUCUCUUCCGAGAUAUUCCUUCAUUGAGAAUCAUGGGUGCUUUGUGGAUGCCAAAACUACAGUUUCCAGCUCCCGCUUCAUGCCUCGGUCCCAACCUGACAAGAUCCAGUUCCAGCUGGAGGCGUUCAUGUUCCAGGAGGGCAACAGUCCUCUAUAUGUACUAUGAAUGAGUUGACUUGACUUCUCCUCCCAUCUUCUUUGGUUUUGUGACCUGUCUUAUCUCUUGCAGAUCUACAUAACAUGUAUCCUGAAGGCAACUAUUGCUUCUGCACCCAGUGAUGCUCAGCGCAAAUCCUGUUCCUUUGCUAACGGGUGGUUUGCUGCUGAUGGAAAUGACCAAGUUUGUGGUUGCUGUGACUCAACAUGUGGUCCUGAUGGUGAAUUUGCUGCUUCUCCCUAUGGAGGCAUUCAGUGGGAAGGAAAGGCCUCACUUGGUCCUGUAAUGGUUCAAGGGCAAAAGAGUUUUCAAUAAAACUGACAAAUCAA
This is a non-coding RNA of Pimephales promelas (fathead minnow), 1435 nucleotides long. Lineage: Eukaryota; Metazoa; Chordata; Actinopteri; Cypriniformes; Leuciscidae. The record is from RefSeq and is a predicted model, not a curated record.